CUACGGGGGGCUGCAGUAAGGAAUAUUGCGCAAUGGAGGCAACUCUGACGCAGCCAUGCCGCGUGCAGGAAGAAGGCCUUAUGGGUCGUAAACUGCUUUUAUUUAGGAAUAAACCCCCGAACGUGUUCGGGGCUGAAGGUACUAAACGAAUAAGCACCGGCUAACUCCGUGCCAGCAGCCGCGGUAAUACGGGAGGGUGCAAGCGUUAUCCGGAUUUAUUGGGUUUAAAGGGUGCGCAGGCGGGCUAUUAAGUCAGUGGUGAAAUCCCGGGGCUCAACUCCGGAACUGCCAUUGAUACUGAUAGUCUUGAGUUUGGUUGAAGUGGGCGGAAUGUAGCAUGUAGCGGUGAAAUGCAUAGAUAUGCUACAGAACACCAAUCGCGAAGGCAGCUCACUAAGCCAAAACUGACGCUCAUGCACGAAAGCGUGGGGAUCAAACAGGAUUAGAUACCCUUGUAGUC
RNAcentral lists this ribosomal RNA (460 nucleotides) under uncultured bacterium. RNAcentral's name for it is "partial 16S ribosomal RNA". It matches the Rfam family "Bacterial small subunit ribosomal RNA", at positions 339 to 795 of the family's 1533-position model. The record is from RNAcentral.